GGGGGUGUAAAGGUUUCGACGGGGGUGUAGAAGCCGGAUAAGCGAGCGGUAGUUGGCUCAGACUACCUUAAAAAGGGCCCGUUAAAAAUAAACGCUAAAAAGAACAACAAUUUCGCAUUAGCAGCUUAGUCUGCAGCGCCUAGGAGCGCACGCGCGUCGGCCACAGCUUACCCGUAGACUGUGAUCCCGGCGUCGACUAUACGGGAAAACCUGCUGAGAGUUCUCGGUAUCAGCAGGGAACAACGAGAUAGCGGACGCGGCAGCCUGUUAAUGGGCGGCCGCCGAUGCGAAACACUAAAUCAUUAACUGCGCUCGGAGAAAUUCCUGUGGAAAUGCUUUCGGACAUGGGUUCGACUCCCAUCACUUCCACCA
RNAcentral lists this transfer-messenger RNA (372 nucleotides) under Anaerovoracaceae. Its description in RNAcentral is "CAG-238 sp900542245 Standard tmRNA". It matches the Rfam family "transfer-messenger RNA". From Rfam's summary of the family: Bacterial tmRNA, also known as 10Sa RNA or SsrA, is named for its dual tRNA and mRNA-like properties. RNAcentral also lists the same sequence under 2 other names. Lineage: Bacteria; Bacillati; Bacillota; Clostridia; Peptostreptococcales. The record is from RNAcentral.